AAUGGACCUGACAUAUAAGGUUUGCAAGAUAUGCAACAUGAAAAUAAGAUACUGUGUAAAUACGACAAACAUAAAAGAAAGACAAAAUCAGCCAAACAGUUGAAAAAAUUGUAUAAAUCGCAAUGUAUUGUUUGGUGAUACUUACUGUAUUGCAAAAUGUUUAAAAUUGCAAUAAUAUCGUAUUGUGGGGCAACUCCUUUGACUAACCAUAAAACAGAUUGAAUAUAAGUUAAUUUAAGAUUAUAUUUUCAUUCUCUGUGUGUCUCUGCAACAUAAGCUAAACUAAAUUUGAAAUAAUAAUGUAGUUGGUUUUCUCCGUGCAGGACAUCCAGAGUAUUCAGCCGUCUUAUUUACUUUGUGUUUGUUGUUAGAGGUUCUGCAGUGUUGAAAUAGUGUAUAAAGCUCCUGUAAGGAACUUUGUGUCUGUGUUGAUUUUUUUAAUCAUUAUUGUCACAAUUUUUUCUUGUAGCCUACAUCUGUGAGUUUGUUUUCAUACCCAAAAUGUUAUCCUGCCUUUUUAAAAGUCAAUCUUUGUAGAGAUUAAAAAAAAAAACUUUUCUUUGCUGAGAUAUAAAAUCUGAUCGUCUGAAAUCAGCCUUCGCAGCAGUUUUAGCCACGUGGAAAUGACAGUCGAGAGUCUUUCUGCUGCUGGUCUUUGUUUCCUUUUGUCGGCUCAACUGUUUAAUUUCAUUUAAUUCAAUUUGCAGAUAUUAAAGCUACUGUAAGGAGUAUUUUAGACUUAUAUAAAACAGACCGUAAUUCAGUUAUAACACUUCCCACAGAAGAAGGAAAAGGGGUUUAGGUAUCACUGCCUAUAAAGAAGAAUAAAGAAGUGUAAGAAAUUAAUUUGAAUUUAUCAGGGUGUAUUUUUCAUAUAACUGUCGAUGGUCGGGAUCCUGUUUUUGCCUUUGUUGUAUUUCUGUUGACAGUCAAAUCUCUGUAUACUACUUUUAGAGGUUGUAGCUGGCAAUCAUGACAUUACCCUCCUUUAUUUAAAAUUAUAGUGGACCUCAACUUGCCUGUUUUGGUCAUUUUAGGAGUCGCCUUCUGAAAUCAUGAUGAGGUAAAGUUCGCAGACGAGAACAGUUUGGUGUUAAAGCCGAAUUGUAACGCUGUGGUAACAUCGUAAUGCUCAGGGCGCCUGUCAAUGUGUUGAAUGUGAUUUCUUACUGUUUCUGUUCGGGUCUCUCUUCUAUUAUGUGACUGCAGUGAAAGUGUAUAAAGAGAAAUUGUUCAGGUUAAUUCUUCACUGCAUCCUUGAUAAAAGCGUGAUUCCACAGCCAGAGAGUCGGUGCCUCUUUUGCAUUAUGUAACAGACUUUCUGAUCAAUGAAAGACAGCUCCUCUGAACGUCACUUGGACAAAAACAACAUCUACUGACAUUAGAUGAAAAAAUAAAAUGACAGAGUUGAGAACGAACAGAAACUAAGACACGGAUGAUAAGAUGUUUGAAGCUCUCAGUCUGUUAUUUUCUUAUGAACGCAAACGUACAAAGGUGAUCAGCCUCAUCUCAACAUCUACUCUCUUUUUUUAGAGGUUGCCCUGGUAGGCUUUAGGAACGCACACCCUACAAACACACACACACCCUACACACACACACACACACACACACACACACACUCCUCGAGGCUUAUGCCGGGCGGGUUAUAAAUUACAAGUCUUAACCAAGUGAUGGGUCACUCUCAGAGACACCUAGAGACAACUCAGCUGCACACACACACACUCACACACACUCUCUCUCUUUCACUCUCUCUCACACAGACACACACACACACACUCACACAGACACAGCUCUGUGAGAAGCUAUACAGACCUUCAAGGUAAGAUUCCAGCUUGCAAACUAUUUAACAAACUUUAAUAAUUUGAGAGAGAUUCAUUUGCUUUUAUACGCUCAAGGCUGAAUAUCUCAGAGGCUUUUCAUGGCUUUGUCUUCUGUCCACGCUUGUGCGCAUUUGUGUGUGUGUUUGUGAAUUCAGUUGUGUGAAGAGGUUUGUACUCUUAAAGGCUGACGAAUAAAUCAGACAUUUGAAGUAGCUGUUCGGAAGAUCUCUGUCCUGCACAUGCUCUCGCAAAGUGCAUGUGCGCCGUGCCAGCUGUGCUUUGUAUGCGCACUCACUCAUCCAUGAAUGCUGUCAUAAGCUCAUAAUAAGGCGGGAGUCAAGCCUGCGCUUUCAGCCGUGGCAGGCUAUUUAUCAACUGUUGUAAAUCAGUUUUGACGAAGAAAGAGCGGAAGCAUCCUUGAACGCUGCCUCGCUUUUCUCAUGCCACUUUUGAACACUUUCUAAUCCUUAAGAAAAGAAGAAAAAAAAAGCAAACAGCGGCUGAAUUUUUUGGAACUUUCUUCAUGUGUUUGCACGCUUGUGUCAAACGCUCAGGCGUUCAUUCAGCACGCGAUGUCAAUAUGCAAGCUCCUACAGGACUAAGGUGUGUUUCAUUAAGUAUAGAGCUGAGCAGAGGGCUUUUGUUUGGAAGUAUGCGCCUUUUUUAUUCUCAUGUUUGUCAGAGCAGCAUAACUACAGGUUUCUUUUGUCUCAUUGUUCCCUUUAUGCUCGUCAUAUAACGGCCCUGCAUUGUUCAGCAGUCAAGACAUGAAUGAGCAGGUUCAUAUGUGACUGUGAAAUGCUGUGAAAUCUGCCUCCCAACCCUGACUUCUCUGAGGCAGAAAUGAUUCACCACCGCUUAGAGGACAAAUGUGGCUUUUUUUCAAUGUUUGUUUUCAGGUGUUUUUUUUUUUCAAAUACUUCAGAUCCUGACAGUCUGUUAAUUCUAAACUGUGUAGCUUUAAAUUCAGUGAACCAAAAUAAAACAUUUCAUUAAAGCUCCUCUGAGGAGUUUUUGGCACUCAUGAAAUGAACAGAAAUUCAUUUUGAUGCCCUUUUAUGACUUACUGAAACGAACAUGCUAUAUGCUCAUUUUAAUGCCCGACACGGAGCCAAGGAGGUAGGUGUCGGUGAAUCAAAGAAAACACUUGUUUUAACAUUUUUAAUUGAACUUUUUACAAAGAAGACAUUUGAAGGUGAAAAUUCGGCAGAACAAGAUGUUUUAGUCAGUUUCAAGGAUGGGUGAUAUGGGCUAAAAAAACGUAUCAAGAUAAGUUUUGCCAUCCUGGCGAUAACAAUAAAAGCCCAAAUAAAAAAUAUUAUAAUUCCAAUCCAUAUUUUUACUCGUUUUGUCUUGAGAACACCAGUCGGAGUAGUCAAAUAAGAAACUUAACCACAUGUUUAAGUGGUAGGUUUUGGAGAAAACAAGCGAAAUCAAACAAGUCUUCAAUGUGAAAACACUUUCAAUAUUUAUUCAAUACUUUUAUUGCACAAUAAGCAUUAACUGCAGCAGCUGAUCCACUCUCCAAUAUCAACCAUCCUGGAUUGCGCUUAUCUAAGCCCCGAUCUUGAAGGAAAGUUUA
RNAcentral lists this long non-coding RNA (3402 nucleotides) under Xyrichtys novacula (pearly razorfish). Lineage: Eukaryota; Metazoa; Chordata; Actinopteri; Labriformes; Labridae. The record is from RNAcentral.